Molecule: ribosomal RNA, 253 nt
Filed under: uncultured bacterium
Lineage: Bacteria
Description: partial 16S ribosomal RNA
Rfam family: Bacterial small subunit ribosomal RNA
Source: RNAcentral
UACGUAGGGUGCAAGCGUUGUCCGGAUUUAUUGGGCGUAAAGAGCUCGUAGGCGGUCUGUCGCGUCGGAUGUGAAAACCCAGGGCUCAACCCUGGGCCUGCAUUCGAUACGGGCAGACUAGAGUGUGGCAGGGGAGACUGGAAUUCCUGGUGUAGCGGUGAAAUGCGCAGAUAUCAGGAAGAACACCCGUGGCGAAGGCGGCUCUCUGGGACGGUACUGACGCUGAGACGCGAAAGCGUGGGGAGCGAACAGG